CCUACGGGUGGCUGCAGUGGGGAAUAUUGGACAAUGGGCGAAAGCCUGAUCCAGCAAUGCCGCGUGAGUGAUGAAGGCCUUAGGGUUGUAAAGCUCUUUUACCCGGGAUGAUAAUGACAGUACCGGGAGAAUAAGCUCCGGCUAACUCCGUGCCAGCAGCCGCGGUAAUACGGAGGGAGCUAGCGUUAUUCGGAAUUACUGGGCGUAAAGCGCACGUAGGCGGCUUUGUAAGUAAGAGGUGAAAGCCCAGAGCUCAACUCUGGAAUUGCCUUUUAGACUGCAUCGCUUGAAUCAUGGAGAGGUCAGUGGAAUUCCGAGUGUAGAGGUGAAAUUCGUAGAUAUUCGGAAGAACACCAGUGGCGAAGGCGGCUGACUGGACAUGUAUUGACGCUGAGGUGCGAAAGCGUGGGGAGCAAACAGGAUUAGAUACCCCAGUAGUC
Molecule: ribosomal RNA, 440 nt
Filed under: uncultured bacterium
Lineage: Bacteria
Description: bacterial SSU rRNA
Rfam family: Bacterial small subunit ribosomal RNA
Source: RNAcentral